UGGGGAAUAUUGCACAAUGGGCGCAAGCCUGAUGCAGCCAUGCCGCGUGUAUGAAGAAGGCCUUCGGGUUGUAAAGUACUUUCAGCGGGGAGGAAGGCGAUAAGGUUAAUAACCUUGUCGAUUGAAGUUACCCGCAGAAGAAGCACCGGCUAACUCCGUGCCAGCAGCCGCGGUAAUACGGAGGGUGCAAGCGUUAAUCGGAAUUACUGGGCGUAAAGCGCACGCAGUCGGUCUGUCAAGUCGGAUGUGAAAUCCCCGGGCUCAACCUGGGAACUGCAUUCGAAACUGGCAGGCUAGAGUCUUGUAGAGGGGGGUAGAAUUCCAGGUGUAGCGGUGAAAUGCGUAGAGAUCUGG
RNAcentral lists this ribosomal RNA (354 nucleotides) under uncultured bacterium. Its description in RNAcentral is "partial 16S ribosomal RNA". It matches the Rfam family "Bacterial small subunit ribosomal RNA", at positions 355 to 701 of the family's 1533-position model. The record is from RNAcentral.